GGAUUGGGAUGAACCCCUCCCCAGACUGGGAUGAGCUCUCCAAACUGGGAUCAGCCCCCCCAAGCUGGGAUGAGCCCCCCAGACUGGGAUGAGCUCUCCAAACUGGGAUCAGCCCCCCUGAACUGGGAUGAGCCCCCCAGACUGGGAUGAGCUCUCCAAACUGGGAUCAGCCCCCCCAGACUGGGAUGAGUUCCCUGGACUGGAAUGAGCUCUCCAAACUGGGAUCAGCCCCCCUGAACUGGGAUGAGUUCUCUGGACUGUGAUGGGUCCCCUGGGGUGGAGCCUUUUUUCCCCCCACCCAGAAUUUUCCUGCUUUUCUCCUCCUCCUCCUGCUGCUGCUGCUGCUGAGUGCUGCCACCACCCCUGUCACUGUCCCCUGGGUGCUGUGACACCCCCAGCCUGCCCACACCUCUCAUUGACAGCGCUGGUGGCAGCUUUUUGGGACCACUUUGGGAUGGUGUCACGGACCAAAACAUCAAAGCACGUCCCUGUCCCCUUCUCCUCUGGGCUCCUGGGGGGGAUCGGGGUCGGGUUAAACUGGAACUGGGCAGGGAGGGAGGAGCAGGGACCUCCAGAGGGUCCUGGGAGGGCUUGGGG
This 597-nucleotide long non-coding RNA is filed under the name Zonotrichia albicollis (white-throated sparrow). RNAcentral's name for it is "lncRNA (ENSZALG00000012173.1)". Lineage: Eukaryota; Metazoa; Chordata; Aves; Passeriformes; Passerellidae. The record is from RNAcentral.